CUACGGGUGGCUGCAGUGGGGAAUAUUGCACAAUGAGCGAAAGCCUGAUGCGGCAACGCCGCGUGGAGGAUGACACAUUUCGGUGCGUAAACUCCUUUUAUAUAAGAAGAUAAUGACGGUAUUAUAUGAAUAAGCACCGGCUAACUCCGUGCCAGCAGCCGCGGUAAUACGGGGGGUGCAAGCGUUACUCGGAAUCACUGGGCGUAAAGAGCAUGUAGGCUGGAUGACAAGUUGGAAGUGAAAUCCUAUGGCUUAACCAUAGAACUGCUUCCAAAACUGUCUUCCUAGAGUAUGGGAGAGGUAGAUGGAAUUUCUGGUGUAGGGGUAAAAUCCGUAGAGAUCAGAAGGAAUACCGAUUGCGAAGGCGAUCUACUGGAACAUUACUGACGCUCAGAUGCGAAAGCGUGGGGAGCAAACAGGAUUAGAUACCCCCGUAGUC
This 439-nucleotide ribosomal RNA is filed under the name uncultured bacterium. RNAcentral describes it as "partial 16S ribosomal RNA". It matches the Rfam family "Bacterial small subunit ribosomal RNA", at positions 339 to 795 of the family's 1533-position model. The record is from RNAcentral.